Molecule: ribosomal RNA, 1241 nt
Filed under: metagenome
Description: bacterial LSU rRNA
Rfam family: Bacterial large subunit ribosomal RNA
Source: RNAcentral
UGAAUACGAGAUGCUACGGCGUCGAAGCAGUGUAUGUCAGACUUCCAAGAAAAGCUCGCAAUGUCAUAAAUAAAGAAUGCCUGUACCAUAACCGACACAGGUGGGUAGGUAGAGUAUACUAAGGGGCGCGAGAUAACUCUCUCUAAGGAACUCGGCAAAAUAACUCCGUAACUUCGGGAGAAGGAGUGCCUUCUUUAAGAAGGUUGCAAUAACAAGAUCCAAGCAACUGUUUAUCAAAAACACAGGUCUCCGCUAAGUCGUAAGACGAUGUAUGGGGGCUGACGCCUGCCCAGUGCCAGAAGGUUAAAGAAGUUGGUUAGCUUUUGCGAAGCUGAUGACUGAAGCCCUGGUGAACGGCGGCCGUAACAAUAACGGUCCUAAGGUAGCGAAAUUCCUUGUCGGGUAAGUUCCGACCCGCACGAAAGGCGUAAUGAUUUGGAUACUGUCUCGGAGAGGGACUCGGUGAAAUAGACUUGUCUGUGAAGAUGCGGACUACCUGCACCAGGACAGAAAGACCCUAUGAAGCUUUACUGUAACUUAAAAUUGAAAUUGGACUUUAUUUGCGCAGUAUAGGUGGAAGGCGUUGAAAGUAAUCUUGCGGGAUUAGUGGAGCCAUCAGUGAGAUACCACUCCUAUAAUGUUAGAUUUCUAACUUUGGAUCAUGAUCUGGUCAAAGAACAGUUUCAGGCGGGCAGUUUGACUGGGGCGGUCGCCUCCCAAAUGGUAACGGAGGCGUACAAAGGUUUCCUCUGAACGGGUAGAAAUCGUAUCUAGAGUGUAAAGGCAUAAGGAAGCUUGACUGUGAGACCUACAAGUCGAGCAGGGACGAAAGUCGGUCUUAGUGAUCUGACGGUGCUGAGUGGAAAGGCCGUCACUCAACGGAUAAAAGUUACUCUAGGAUAACAGGCUGAUCUCCCCCAAGAGUUCACAUCGACGGGGAGGUUUGGCACCUCGAUGUCGGCUCAUCGCAUCCUGGGGCGGUAGUACGUCCCAAGGGUUGGGCUGUUCGCCCAUGAAAGCGGUACGCGAGCUGGGUUCAGAACGUCGUGAGACAGUUCGGUCCAUAUCCGGUGUAGGCGUUAGAAUAUUGAGAGGAGCCUUCUUUAGUACGAGAGGACCGAGAAGGACAUACCUCUGGUGUACCAGUUAUCGUGCCAACGGUAAACGCUGGGUAGCUAUGUAUGGAGAGGAUAACCGCUGAAAGCAUCUAAGUGGGAAGCCCACCUCAAGAUGAGUAUUCC